CCUACGGGUGGCAGCAGUGAGGAAUAUUGGUCAAUGGACGCAAGUCUGAACCAGCCAUGCAGCGUGCAGGAAGACUGCUCUAUGAGUUGUAAACUGCUUUUGUACGAGGGUAAACGCAGAUACGCGUACCUGUUUGAAAGUAUCGUAUGAAUAAGGAUCGGCUAACUCCGUGCCAGCAGCCGCGGUAAUACGGAGGAUUCAAGCGUUAUCCGGAUUUAUUGGGUUUAAAGGGUGCGUAGGCGGUCGGAUAAGUUAGUGGUGAAAUCCCGAGGCUCAACCUCAGAAUUGCCUCUGAUACUGGUCGGCUAGAGAGUAGUUGCGGUAGGCGGAAUGUAUGGUGUAGCGGUGAAAUGCUUAGAGAUCAUACAGAACACCGAUUGCGAAGGCAGCUUACCAAGCUACUUCUGACAUUGAGGCACGAAAGUGUGGGGAGCAAACAGGAUUAGAUACCCUUGUAGUC
RNAcentral lists this ribosomal RNA (460 nucleotides) under uncultured bacterium. Its description in RNAcentral is "partial 16S ribosomal RNA". It matches the Rfam family "Bacterial small subunit ribosomal RNA", at positions 338 to 795 of the family's 1533-position model. The record is from RNAcentral.